AUGGCGGCGCUCGGCGGCAUGCUUGCUGCUGCCAUCCUCAAGGUGGUGGGUGACCAGGUUGGUUCUCUGAUCGGGGGUCAGAUCGCGCUGCAGAUGAAUUUGGACAAGGACCUCAAGAAGAUGAAGAUGGCGCUGGAGUCUGUCGAGGCAGUGCUCAAGGUCGCGGAGAGGCGGUCCAUCACCGACGAGCUGACGGGUCUUUGGCUGAAGCGGCUCAAGGACUUCUUGUAUGAGGUCUCUGACAUGAUUGAUGAGUUCGAAGCAGACACACAAGCCAUCACCCAGCCGUCUGCGCGCAAGUUCUCCUUCAAAAAAUAUUUGGCGUUCAUGAUCCCUUGUCUCACAAUUGGCCCCAACAUUACAAUGGCCAAUAGGAUGAAGAACAUGAGGGACGACCUCAAGGUCAUAACAGAUCAACACAAGGAAUUCAAGUUAACAGACUGCACUAAUGCCAAUGAGCCAAAGGUGACUGAUAUACGGGAAACAUCAUCAACCCUGGAGACACAAAUCAUUGGGAGGACUGAGGAGAGAGAUAUAAUAUUGGCUUCUUUAUCUGAGAGCAUGACAAAGGAUAUCACAAUCCUUCCUAUAUAUGGCAUUGGAGGCCUUGGCAAGACAACCUUGGCAAAAAUGGUUUACAAUAGUUCCCAGUUCAAUGAAUACUCUCAAGUGUGGGUUUACGUGUCUCAGACAUUUGAUUUGAUCAAAAUUGGAAACUCUAUAAUAUCACAACUAUCAGAGAAUGAUAAAGAGAGUGCGUACACUGGAAAGCAGAUGAUCCGUAAUUCCCUUGAAAAGCUCCUUGCCAACAAGAAAAUUCUGAUUGUUUUAGAUGACAUGUGGGAAGACAACAUGUUUCAGUUGGAAGAACUGAAAGAUAUGUUAAAAGUUGGGGAGAGCAGUAAGGUGGUUGUUAUAGCAACCACACGAAGUGAAGGUAUUGCGAAGAAAAUGUCUACCAUCCAACCAUACAAAUUAGCACCAUUGACUGAUGAUAUGUGUUGGUCUAUUAUAAAGCAAAAGAGUGCAUUUGAAUCAAGAGGUGACAAAGAACAAUUGGAGGAAAUAGGGAAGGUCAUUGCAAUGAAGUGUGCGGGUGUGGCUUUAGCAGCUAAAUCACUUGGGCACACGCUGCAAUCUAUGAAAUCUGGUCAAUGGGAAUCAGUGAGAGAUAGUAAUAUUUGGACUGCACCUUCUUUGGAAGAUACAUCUUCUACACAAGUGCUUGCAUCUCUGAAGUUGAGCUAUAGUGUUUUGCCUUCGUAUCUGAAGCUAUGCUUUGCCUAUUGUGCAAUAUUUCCAAAAGGCCACAAGAUACUUAAAGAUGAUCUUAUUCAUCAGUGGGUUUCUCUUGGUUUCUCUUCCUGGGAACUUGGUGAGAGAUACAUUAGUCAGCUUUUGGGCCUUUCUUUUCUUGACCAUUUCAAGUCAUCAUCGACUUUUGAGCUACAUGAUGAAGAUGUUAUAUUGUUGACCAUGCAUGACCUGGUGCAUGAUUUAGCAAGAUCUGUCAUGGAGGAUGAAAUUAUUUUUGUUGGCAAUGUCAAUAAUGCUGAAGGAAGCCGCUUCCACUAUGCAUUGCUAGAUGAUUGUAGCAAGCCAUUGGGAUCAGACUUAUCCAAGAUAAGAGCGUUGCGUUUUAUGGAUUGUGACAAAUAUGAACUUCAUGAUGCUGCAUUUUCAUCUGCCAAGUCUUUGCGUGUCUUGGACUUAAGUGAGUGCGCCAUAUAUACGUUGGCAGAUUGUAUUGUUGAACUGAAGCAAUUGAGAUAUCUUAAUGCUCCAAAAGUCCAAGAUGCAAAGAUUCCAGACAGUAUCACCAAGCUCUCAAAAUUGAUUUACCUGAAUCUUCAUGGAUCUCCUACAAUUAAAGCACUACCAGAGUCAAUUGGAGAAAUUGGCAGUCUAAUGUACCUUGAUUUGUCAAGUUGUUCAGGAAUUGCAAAACUGCCAGAAUCAUUCAGGAGGCUACAAAAAUUGUUGCAUUUGGACUUAUCAAAUUGCUCGUCUGUGGGAGGAAUAUCAGUGUUCUUGGAGAGUCUCACACAGCUAGAGUAUUUGAACUUAUCAUACUGCCCAAAUAUCGGAGAUAUACCAGAAGUUCUGGGCGGCCUUUCCAAACUGCAGUAUUUAAACUUAUCAAACAACUCAUAUCUUGAAUGUGGUAAAGAAGCAGAAUUUUUGGGUGCCCUCACAAAAAUCGAGUAUUUGAACUUAUCUUCAAGGGAAUGUGGACUCAAAAAGCUCCCUGAAUCUUUGGGCGGAUUCAGUCAACUCAAGUACUUAAACUUAUCAGGUUGGCGAGCUAUGAAAAAAUUGCCAAGAUUAUUUGGGAGUCUGAAGAAUCUGCUCCAUCUUGACUUAUCAGGUUGUUAUAUGGUUGAUGGUGUACAUGAAGCUUUGGUCGGUCUUACCAGUCUGCAACAUUUGAAUUUACAAGAUACACAGCUCAGUUCGCUGCCAGAUGAUCCGACCAAGCUUCGGUAUUUAAAUCUAUCUAAACUAAGGAGGUCCUUGGAUGAUCGGAAGAAAGAUGCAUCAGUUUUUCUCUCUGCAGAAACCUGGGACAUUCUCAUCAACCAGAUAUGCAGAAUUAAUCUUUCAGAUCUAGAGCAUUUGGGCUUGUCUCGAAAUUGUCUGAUCGAGAGAAUACCUGAAAGUAUUUGUAGCCUGACAAAACUGCACACAUUGGACCUCUCGGGAUGCAGAAAUUUGAAGAAAAUACCUGAAAGUAUAUGUACAUUUGGUAGCUUGAAGUUUCUUUAUUUAGAGGAUUGUUGCAGUCUUGAUGAAAUACCUCAACUCAGUAGCAGUGCAAUAUCGUUACCACACUUUGUGGUGCGUGCUGGUAAUGAUGGAUCUAGCAGCAAUCUUGUCCUGCUAAAGCCCACAGAUCCUUUUAAGCUGGAGAUAACUGAACUUGAAAAUGUGAUGUCCGCAGGAGAGGCACAUACUAUAAAAUUAAUGGAAAAGCAAAGCAUUCGGGAGUUGAAACUGGAGUGGACUCAAGGUGUUGACAGAUUUGUGGAUGACAAAAUGUUGCUGAAAAAACUAGUGCCUCCAAGCACAUUGAGGGUGUUGGAGAUAUGUGGUUAUAACAGUGUCAUCUUUCCAGGCUGGGUAGUGGGCCAACUACCAAACCUGGACUCACUGGUUCUCAAAGAUAUGGCAAAUCUGGAAGAGUGGGACACGUCAUACUCCACCGGUGAGGAGAAUAUGUUAACAAGCGUGCAAAUAGAUGGCUGCCCCAUGAUGAAGAUGAAAGGGCCUCUGCCUAAAGCUAAAGAAUGGGAGAUAAGAUGCAGUGAUAAUGUGUUAUCAUCAUGGGAUGUGUGCAUUGUGUCACACACCAGUGCUUCCUCCUCUUCUCCAGUAACUACUAUGUUGUCAGUUAGAGACUGCAAGGUGCCUCUGCAUGAGUGGAGGUUGCUUCGACACUUCUCUGGACUCCCUUAUUUGUCUAUUGCCAAUUGUAGCGAUCUAACCGGCUCACCAGAUAUCAUCCAACUACUAUCCUCUUUGGAGAAACUAUGCCUAGAAGACGAACACAUGGAAGAACUGCCAAUAUGGUUGGUUGAGCUCCCAUCUCUAAAGAAUCUGACUAUAUUUAAUAGCAAUGGUAUAAAGGAGUUGAACGAGAACAUGAGGCAACUCACAAAGCUUGAAUCGCUAGAACUGGGCUUCUGCAAAAGCAUAUCUGCAGUGCCACAUUGGCUAGGCGAAUUGACCUUUCUCAAGAAACUUUGGAUACAUAACAAUGAAGGCUUGAGGUCUUUGCCGGCAAGCAUACAACAACUCACCAGCCUCCAGGAAAUAGUACUUAUGCACUGCUAUGCAUUAGAGCACGUGGUUGCUGAAACAGAGGAGGGAAAGAUGAAGCUGGCUGACAACCAACAAAGGGAAUUUGCUCUGCCCACCUCUCUAAAGAGACUUUAUCUGCAUGGAUGUGAUGGUAUCAAGUCUUUUCCCGAGGGAAUACAUCAACUCACUAACCUAACAAUAGAGAGGUGCCCGGGACUAAAGGAAUGGUGUGAAUUAGAGGAGAACAAGAUGAAGCUGGCGCACAUAGAAAAGAAGUGCAUUUUCUUCUAG
Molecule: ribosomal RNA, 4092 nt
Filed under: Triticum aestivum (bread wheat)
Lineage: Eukaryota; Viridiplantae; Streptophyta; Magnoliopsida; Poales; Poaceae
Description: partial small subunit ribosomal RNA
Source: RNAcentral